AUCAAGGAAGAAAAUAAAUCCCACCACCAACACCCAAAGCUGGCAUUCUAAUUAAACUAUUCCUUG
RNAcentral lists this transfer RNA (66 nucleotides) under Eospalax fontanierii baileyi (plateau zokor). RNAcentral describes it as "tRNA-Pro". The record is from RNAcentral. Lineage: Eukaryota; Metazoa; Chordata; Mammalia; Rodentia; Spalacidae.